AAGUGAGAAGGACAAGAACUGAAAAUAUAAAUACCAGAUCCGAGACAUAUAAAAAACAACCCAAAUCACAAAAUCAUUCCAAAAUAGAAUAUACACACCAGUCAGUCCACCAAAUUUAAAUCCUAAUUAGAUUAACCAGCUCGAGACUUGGAAAAAUUAAACAGCAAAUUCCAGAUAAAAAUAAACCAUAAAUAACUACACACAGUAAAAGAAAUAGAGCGAAAUUCAACAAAUACAUAUAUACCUCAGAAAGCUAAAACACAACAAAUUAAUCAAGCUUGACAGAAUGUGAAUCUACGAUUCCAAGAUCCAACAGCGUUAACAACUUCCAAGCAAUCUGCAUAAGAUUUCAAGCUUUUACUUACAUGAACAUAAUCAAUUGCUUGUAUAUAUAUAUAUAUAUAUAUAUAUAAAUGUAGUAUAUGUAUAUGCUUGGUGGUGGUUGAAAAUACCUGAGGGAAGGAGGAAUUUAGUAAAGCAACAGCAACCAAUAAUAAAUGCAAGGAAACUGAUGGAAAAAAACACAAAAAAAUAAAUAAAUAAAGCGACGCCCUCCCCUCAGGGCCUCAGCUUUUCAUCUCUUUCCUUUUAUUUCCCCGCAUAUCAGUCUCUCUCUCUCCUCAGCCUUUUGUUCUUUCUUUG
RNAcentral lists this long non-coding RNA (642 nucleotides) under Panax ginseng (ginseng). RNAcentral describes it as "long non-coding RNA (PGIN_LNC017316)". The record is from RNAcentral. Lineage: Eukaryota; Viridiplantae; Streptophyta; Magnoliopsida; Apiales; Araliaceae.